RNAcentral lists this ribosomal RNA (301 nucleotides) under uncultured bacterium. RNAcentral's name for it is "partial 16S ribosomal RNA". It matches the Rfam family "Bacterial small subunit ribosomal RNA", at positions 509 to 808 of the family's 1533-position model. The record is from RNAcentral.
CAGUCGCGCGGGAAUACGAGGGGAGCUAGCGUUAUUCGGAAUUACUGGGCGUAAAGCGCACGUAGGCGGCUUUGUAAGUUAGAGGUGAAAGCCCAGAGCUCAACUCUGGAAUUGCCUUUAAGACUGCAUCGCUUGAAUCCAGGAGAGGUGAGUGGAAUUCCGAGUGUAGAGGUGAAAUUCGUAGAUAUUCGGAAGAACACCAGUGGCGAAGGCGGCUCACUGGACUGGUAUUGACGCUGAGGUGCGAAAGCGUGGGGAGCAAACAGGAUUAGAUACCCCAGUAGUCCCUGUCUCUUAUACA